AACGUAGGUGGCGAGCGUUAUCCGGAUUUACUGGGCGUAAAGGGUGUGUAGGUGGCGCCGUAAGUCGGGUGUGAAAUUUCGGAGCUUAACUCCGAAACUGCAUUCGAUACUGCGGUGCUUGAGGACUGGAGAGGAGACUGGAAUUCAUGGUGUAGCAGUGAAAUGCGUAGAGAUCAUGAGGAAGACCAGUGGCGAAGGCGGGUCUCUGGACAGUUCCUGACACUGAGACACGAAGGCCAGGGGAGCAAACGGG
Molecule: ribosomal RNA, 253 nt
Filed under: uncultured bacterium
Lineage: Bacteria
Description: partial 16S ribosomal RNA
Rfam family: Bacterial small subunit ribosomal RNA
Source: RNAcentral